This 253-nucleotide ribosomal RNA is filed under the name uncultured bacterium. RNAcentral's name for it is "partial 16S ribosomal RNA". It matches the Rfam family "Bacterial small subunit ribosomal RNA", at positions 524 to 776 of the family's 1533-position model. The record is from RNAcentral.
UACGUAGGGGCCGAGCGUUGUCCGGAGUUAUUGGGCGUAAAGCGCGCGCAGGCGGCUUGGCGCGCCCGACGUGAAAGCCCCCGGCUUAACCGGGGAGAGUCGUCGGGUACGGCCAGGCUUGAGGGCGGGAGAGGGUGGUGGAAUUCCCGGUGUAGUGGUGAAAUGCGUAGAGAUCGGGAGGAACACCUGUGGCGAAGGCGGCCACCUGGGCCGACCCUGACGCUGAGGCGCGAAGGCGUGGGGAGCGAACGGG